GAUUGGGGUUUUGGUACUUAGAUGAAAGUAGUUAGACUUUGGGCUUUUAUUCAGGUAAUCAGGAUUAUAAUGCCACAGAUGCCUAACAAGUUGUAUGCAUGAUAUUAUAGAGCUCAACACUUGUAAAAAAACCGAUAGGCUCUCACUUUCUAGGUUUGUCUAUUGGCCAGAUAUAAGUGUCGAUCAGUGAUUCUAUAGGAAUAUCGAUCGAUACAUUUGUUGAACUGUCGACCAAUUAUUCGAUUACAAUAUCGAUCGACGUUUUGGCCAAGCUUUAACGUGCGGGUUGAAUGUACUCACUAAGCUUCCUAGAUCAGCUAUAGCCUUACUCUAGCAAUCUUAGCUCAAUUAGAAUGGAUUCAGG
RNAcentral lists this long non-coding RNA (364 nucleotides) under Brassica napus (rape). RNAcentral's name for it is "long non-coding RNA (BNAP_LNC003922)". Lineage: Eukaryota; Viridiplantae; Streptophyta; Magnoliopsida; Brassicales; Brassicaceae. The record is from RNAcentral.